Molecule: ribosomal RNA, 253 nt
Filed under: uncultured bacterium
Lineage: Bacteria
Description: partial 16S ribosomal RNA
Rfam family: Bacterial small subunit ribosomal RNA
Source: RNAcentral
UACGUAGGGGGCUAGCGUUGUCCGGAAUCAUUGGGCGUAAAGAGCGUGUAGGCGGCCCGGUAAGUCCGCUGUAAAAGUCAAAGGCUCAACCUUUGAAUGUCAGUGGAUACUGCCGGGCUAGAGUCCGGAAGAGGCGAGUGGAACUCCUGGUGUAGCGGUGGAAUGCGCAGAUAUCAGGAAGGACACCAACGGCGAAGGCAGCUCGCUGGGACGGUACUGACGCUGAGACGCGAAAGCGUGGGGAGCAAACAGG